RNAcentral lists this ribosomal RNA (714 nucleotides) under uncultured bacterium. RNAcentral describes it as "bacterial SSU rRNA". It matches the Rfam family "Bacterial small subunit ribosomal RNA", at positions 120 to 833 of the family's 1533-position model. The record is from RNAcentral.
UGCAACCUACCUAUUAUUGGGGGAUAGCCUUUGGAAACGGAGAUUAAUACCGCAUAAUACGAUUGACUGGCAUCGGUUGAUUGUUAAAGCUUCGGCGAUAAUAGAUGGGCAUGCGUCCAAUUAGUUAGUUGGUUAGGUAACGGCUGACCAAGACGAUGAUUGGUAGGGGAUCUGAGAGGAUAAUCCCCCACACUGGCACUGAGAUACGGGCCAGACUCCUACGGGAGGCAGCAGUAGGGAAUAUUGGGCAAUGGGCGGAAGCCUGACCCAGCCAUGCCGCGUGCAGGAAGAAGGCGUUAUGCGUUGUAAACUGCUUUUUUAUAGGAAGAAGGAUCCCUUGCGAGGGAAGGUGACGGUACUAUAAGAAUAAGCACCGGCUAACUCCGUGCCAGCAGCCGCGGUAAUACGGAGGGUGCAAGCGUUGUCCGGAUUUAUUGGGUUUAAAGGGUGCGUAGGCGGUUUAUUAAGUCAGUGGUGAAAGACGGUCGCUCAACGAUUGCAGUGCCAUUGAUACUGGUAGACUUGAGUGAGAUUGAGGUAGCUGGAAUGGAUAGUGUAGCGGUGAAAUGCAUAGAUAUUAUCCAGAACACCGAUUGCGAAGGCAGGUUACUAAGUCUUAACUGACGCUGAGGCACGAAAGUGUGGGGAUCAAACAGGAUUAGAUACCCUGGUAGUCCACACUGUAAACGAUGAUGACUAACUGUUGGCUUUAGG